AGCAGCCGCCGCGGGAAUACGUAGGUGGCAAGCGUUGUCCGGAAUUAUUGGGCGUAAAGGGCUCGCAGGCGGUUUCUUAAGUCUGAUGUGAAAGCCCCCGGCUCAACCGGGGAGGGUCAUUGGAAACUGGGAAACUUGAGUGCAGAAGAGGAGAGUGGAAUUCCACGUGUAGCGGUGAAAUGCGUAGAGAUGUGGAGGAACACCAGUGGCGAAAGCACUCUGCUGGGCCGACACUGACACUGAGAGACGAAAGCUAGGGGAGCAAAUGGGAUUAGAUACCCCGGUAGUCCCUGUCUCUUAUAC
RNAcentral lists this ribosomal RNA (303 nucleotides) under uncultured bacterium. RNAcentral describes it as "partial 16S ribosomal RNA". It matches the Rfam family "Bacterial small subunit ribosomal RNA", at positions 507 to 807 of the family's 1533-position model. The record is from RNAcentral.